Long non-coding RNA from Suricata suricatta (meerkat), 1279 nucleotides. RefSeq lists it as uncharacterized. Lineage: Eukaryota; Metazoa; Chordata; Mammalia; Carnivora; Herpestidae. The transcript is spliced from 2 exons. The record is from RefSeq and is a predicted model, not a curated record.
AGGGCAUUGGGUCAGGCUUACAGAGCACAGUGAGGUAGGCAGAGGCUGAGGGCGGGCGCAGGAGGCCGUUGCUGGGCACACAGGUGUAGCGACCCGCGUCGUCAGGCUGGGCAGCCUGUAGCCGCAGGCUCCCGUCUACCAAGAUUCGCACUCGGGGCUGCAGGCGGCUGCAAUGUGGCACGUGUGGGCAGGGGUCCAGGCUGGCCGAGCCCGGGGGCUCCUCGGAGACUGCCCGCCAGGGUCCCGCCCACCCCAGAGCCCCACCUAAUGUGGAAAACGUUGAUGCUGUCCUGGAACCAGCUGUAGGUGAGGUUGGUGGGGUACGCCUCAGCCCGGCAGGCCAAGGAAACGUCCUGGGAGGCAUUGACCGUGCUGUUCUUGGGGGGCACCACGAUGACCGGCGGGCCUGUGGGCAAGCACAUGGGGAGAGAGGGGUCUCAGCCCUGGGGUCCCCUAUACAGUGCCCGGAAUCCACAAGGAGCUGUCACAGGGCCUUGGGGAACUGAAACAGCCGUAACCCCUGCACAUAACGGAAGUUCCCUCUCUUCCCCAGGCCGGAUGGCCUUGGCACAGGGACAGCCCCAUUCACCCCGAUUCCCCGGCCUGGAACCUGUGUGUGCGUGUCUGUGCCUGCCUGUGGGGGAGGGGAGUCAGGUUUACUCUCUGCCCAUUCACCCUUUACAUCCCUAGCCCGUCAUGUGCCAGAUGGCCUCCACGUGUCCUGCCCUAAUGCAGGUCCCAACACCUCACCCCGGGAUACGGCACAAUCCCCGAUCCAGGCUCCAAAUCUCGCCACUCCGGUGGCCAUUUGCGCAGAGAUGUCCCCUUGGGCCACAGUACACUCGCUGUCCAAGAACUCAGAAGUCCUGGCUUCCACCACAUCAGGCUCGAACUUCUGGACCCAGCCCCGUGGGCACUCAUGAUCCGACCCCGCCCGGCCUGGCCAAGCCUCACAAACUCUUUCAGGUGAAGUGAUGAAGGCUGAGAGGCAGAGAAGUGAGGUGAGGGCUCAAAGCUAGCCGGGCAGGCAAGGCUCAUUCACGCCCUCCUGAUUCCAGCGGACCUGGCCCUGGGCAGUUCCUCCACGCCGCCCUCCCACGGAACCAGGGACAGUGACCCUUCGCUCCCUCAUCUGACUUCCCUUAAGAGGAGGCUCUCUGAAGGCAGCGUGCAGGCCGUCUCUUAGCUCUCCUUCCGGAAGGAAGGUCCUGGACAAGGAUUACUAAGUGCUGAUCACUGUGCUCAGCUGAACCCGAUGAAAUUCUUGAAACCAUCCUAA